AGUGAGAGGGAAGAGCCCAAGAUUGAAAGCUGGCGUCUUCGGCGUCCGCAUUGUAAUCUCAAGAAGUGUUUUCCGCUUCGGACCAUGCCUAAGUCCCUUGGAAAAGGGCAUCAUAGAGGGUGAUAAUCCCGUACAUGGCAUGGAGCGCCCGAAGCUUUGUGAUACGCUUUCUAAGAGUCGAGUUGUUUGGGAAUGCAGCUCAAAAUGGGUGGUAAAUGCCAUCUAAGGCUAAAUAUUGGGGAGAGACCGAUAGCGAACAAGUACAGUGAUGGAAAGGUGAAAAGAACUUUGAAAAGAGAGUUAAACAGUACGUGAAAUUGCCAAAAGGGAAGGGUAGGAGGUCAGAGAUGCGGCCUGGGAUUCAGCCUUGCUUUUGCUUGGUGUUUUUCCCAGAUUGCAGGCCAACGUCGGUUUUGGGCACUGGAGAAGGGUAGGAGGAACGUGGCACCUCUCGGGGUGUGUUAUAGCCUCCUACUGGAUACAGCGACCGAGACCGAGGAACGCAGCGUACUCGUAAGAGCGGGCCUUUUGGCACCUUUACGCUUAGGGCGUUGGCAUAAUGGCCCUCUACCACCCGUCUU
RNAcentral lists this ribosomal RNA (581 nucleotides) under uncultured Pseudozyma. RNAcentral's name for it is "eukaryotic LSU rRNA". It matches the Rfam family "Eukaryotic large subunit ribosomal RNA", at positions 92 to 655 of the family's 3401-position model. Lineage: Eukaryota; Fungi; Basidiomycota; Ustilaginomycetes; Ustilaginales; Ustilaginaceae. The record is from RNAcentral.